AUGCAUACAAUGCUCAAUCUCCAUUGUUCUACCCUUUUCCCAAACGUACAAUUACACAAUUUUUCCCAAAUGUCAAGCCCAACUCACAUCUCUCACCAAAAGAUCUCAAGAACACCUUGCACAACAAAAUUCUUUUCUUUGAAAUCUCAUAAGGAUUUUUUCUCAACUUCAAAACAAAACUUAGCUCUAAACAGUUUUGCUAGCCCCCUUUCUUUCUAAUUUUUUUUUUUUUUUUUUUUUUCGGGGGCCAAGACUUUUCAUAAACUCGAGCUAGACGUUUAUCUAUUAAUUUCAAUAAGAUUAUCCAUUUAAAC
Molecule: long non-coding RNA, 314 nt
Filed under: Brassica napus (rape)
Lineage: Eukaryota; Viridiplantae; Streptophyta; Magnoliopsida; Brassicales; Brassicaceae
Description: long non-coding RNA (BNAP_LNC009237)
Source: RNAcentral